RNAcentral lists this ribosomal RNA (228 nucleotides) under uncultured bacterium. Its description in RNAcentral is "partial 16S ribosomal RNA". It matches the Rfam family "Bacterial small subunit ribosomal RNA", at positions 103 to 334 of the family's 1533-position model. The record is from RNAcentral.
CGGGUGAGUAAUGUCUGGGGAACUGCCUGAUGGAGGGGGAUAACUGCUGGAAACGGUAGCUAAUACCGCAUAACGUCGCAAGACCAAAGAGGGGGACCUUCGGGCCUCUUGCCAUCGGAUGUGCCCAGAUGGGAUUAGCUAGUAGGUGGGGUAACGGCUCACCUAGGCGACGAUCCCUAGCUGGUCUGAGAGGAUGACCAGCCACACUGGAACUGAGACACGGUCCAG